CUACGGGCGGCAGCAGUGAGGAAUAUUGCACAAUGGGGGGAACCCUGAUGCAGCAACGCCGCGUGGAGGAUGACGCAUUUCGGUGUGUAAACUCCUUUUAUAUGUCAAGAAAAUGACGGUAGCAUAUGAAUAAGCACCGGCUAACUCCGUGCCAGCAGCCGCGGUAAUACGGAGGGUGCAAGCGUUACUCGGAAUCACUGGGCGUAAAGGACGCGUAGGCGGGUUGAAAAGUCAGGUGUGAAAUCCCACAGCUUAACUGUAGAACUGCACUUGAAACUUCUAAUCUAGAGUAUGGGAGGGGGAGAUGGAAUUAGUGGUGUAGGGGUAAAAUCCGUAGAUAUCACUAGGAAUACCUAAAGCGAAGGCGAUCUCCUGGAACAUUACUGACGCUAAGGCGUGAAAGCGUGGGGAGCAAACAGGAUUAGAUACCCCGGUAGUC
Molecule: ribosomal RNA, 439 nt
Filed under: uncultured bacterium
Lineage: Bacteria
Description: partial 16S ribosomal RNA
Rfam family: Bacterial small subunit ribosomal RNA
Source: RNAcentral